CCCUUAGACGUUCUGGGCCGCACGCGCGCUACACUGACGAAGUCAGCGAGCAUGUCCUACGCCGACAGGUGCGGGGAAUCUUGUCAAACUUCGUCGUGAUGGGGAUUGAUUAUUGAAAUUCUUGAUCAUCAACGAGGAAUUCCUAGUAAGCGCAAGUCAGCAGCUUGCGUUGAUUACGUCCCUGCCCUUUGUACACACCGCCCGUCGCUACUACCGAUUGAAUGGUUUAGUGAGAUCUUCGGAUUGGCGCCACUGCGGCUCAGCAAUGGGCUCGGUGGAUGCCGAAAAGUUGAUCAAACUUGAUCAUUUAGAGGAAGUAAAAGUCGUAACA
RNAcentral lists this ribosomal RNA (331 nucleotides) under uncultured eukaryote. RNAcentral describes it as "partial 18S ribosomal RNA". It matches the Rfam family "Eukaryotic small subunit ribosomal RNA", at positions 1470 to 1796 of the family's 1831-position model. The record is from RNAcentral.